GACGAACGCUGGCGGCGUGCUUAACACAUGCAAGUCGAACGGUAAGGCCUUUCGGGGUACACGAGUGGCGAACGGGUGCGUAACACGUGGGUGAUCUGCCCUGCACUUCGGGAUAAGCCCGGGAAACUGGGUCUAAUACCGGAUAGGACUGCGCGGUGCAUGCCGUGUGGUGGGAAGAUUUAUCGGUGCAGGAUGGGCCCGCGGCCUAUCAGCUUGUUGGUGGGGUAAUGGCCUACCAAGGCGACGACGGGUAGCCGGCCUGAGAGGGCGACCGGCCACACUGGGACUGAGACACGGCCCAGACUCCUACGGGAGGCAGCAGUGGGGAAUAUUGCACAAUGGGCGCAAGCCUGAUGCAGCGACGCCGCGUGAGGGAUGACGGCCUUCGGGUUGUAAACCUCUUUCAGCAGGGACGAAGCGUGAGUGACGGUACCUGCAGAAGAAGCACCGGCCAACUACGUG
Molecule: ribosomal RNA, 462 nt
Filed under: uncultured bacterium
Lineage: Bacteria
Description: partial 16S ribosomal RNA
Rfam family: Bacterial small subunit ribosomal RNA
Source: RNAcentral